This 200-nucleotide ribosomal RNA is filed under the name Acanthamoeba genotype T5. Its description in RNAcentral is "partial 18S ribosomal RNA". It matches the Rfam family "Eukaryotic small subunit ribosomal RNA", at positions 938 to 1096 of the family's 1831-position model. Lineage: Eukaryota; Discosea; Longamoebia; Acanthamoebidae. The record is from RNAcentral.
AACUUCUGCGAAGCGUUUGCCAAGGAUGUUUUCAUUAAUCAAGAACGAAAGUUAGGGGAUCGAAGACGAUCAGAUACCGUCGUAGUCUUAACCAUAAACGAUGCCGACCAGCGAUUAGGAGACGUUGAAUACAAAACACCGCCGUUAAUCCUUUCGGGGGUUAAUGGUUGGUGAAUGACUCCCCUAGCAGCUUGUGAGAA